Callorhinus ursinus (northern fur seal) is the source of this 774-nucleotide non-coding RNA. The record is from RefSeq and is a predicted model, not a curated record. NCBI's taxonomy places the organism in Eukaryota, Metazoa, Chordata, Mammalia, Carnivora, Otariidae.
ACUGGAUUAAGCGGGUAGAGCCACUGGGCCAAGGACAGAGCCCAAGGUUGAGGCCUAGUUAUUUGGGCCUGGUUAGUACUUGGAUGGGAGUCUUUGUCAGCACAAAGAAAGGCAUCCGAAGCUGCCACCCUCUUGCUGGCUCCAAAGAGGGGGACUGGGAGGAAGGUGUUGGCGGGGGGAAAGAGCUCAGGAUUUUCCUCAGAACAAAUCCUGGUCCCAUGCUGAACACAGGUCACCCAGGAAGGACCGUGAGCUCCGGGGCUGACAGACUGGUUUCACAUCCAGCUCCACAACGGACUACGUGACCUUGGGACACAGCCGCGUGCCGCUCCGUAACCCUCUGUGACGGGCAUAGUCAACGUUGUAUCUCCCCGUCAUCCUGCCGUCUUGCUGGGGCUCUUAGCUCAACCGCGUGUCUGCGAGGCUCCUCUGUUGGCAUGUGGGAGCCCACCUCGAGCACUCUCCCUACUGUUUGGGUGCCAUGGCAUGAAGGCACCAUACAAGACUCCAGGGGCCUGCAGACCCCAUGCUAAUGUGCAUGAAUAAAACAUGGGCGUCCUCAAGCUCAAAAUAUCGCAAGUAUUUGCUCUGGAUUUGUUCUCACUUCACUAUGUGGUAAGCAGCGUCCAGCUGGGGCCCUGUGGCCUCCUGUUUGGAUUGUUCUAGUGUGGCUGGGCUCCCUCAGGAGGCCGAUGGUAUGGUGGGGGGAGGUCCAGCCACGCCAGCGAGGGAGCUUCUCUGUGCACCUUCCCUCCCUCCAUGCUCCCCCACACG